Molecule: ribosomal RNA, 425 nt
Filed under: uncultured bacterium
Lineage: Bacteria
Description: bacterial SSU rRNA
Rfam family: Bacterial small subunit ribosomal RNA
Source: RNAcentral
AACGCGAAGAACCUUACCAGGGUUUGACAUGCAUUUGCACCGUCCAGAGAUGGACGUGCCCGCAAGGGACAGAUGCACAGGUGCUGCAUGGCUGUCGUCAGCUCGUGCCGUGAGGUGUUGGGUUAAGUCCCAUAACGAGCGCAACCCUUAUCGUUAGUUGAAUUUCUCUAACGAGACUGCCACUAAAAAGUGGAGGAAGGUGGGGAUGACGUCAAGUCAGCACGGCCCUGACAUCCUGGGCGACACACACGCUACAAUGGUCGGGACAGAGGGAAGCAAACCCGCGAGGGGGAGCCAAUCUCACAAACCCGAUCUCAGUUCGGAUUGCAGGCUGCAACUCGCCUGCAUGAAGUCGGAGUUGCUAGUAACCGUGGGUCAGCACACCACGGUGAAUACGUUCCCGGGCCUUGUACACACCGUAGUAC